AAGCAGCUCCAGAGAACCAGCAGCACGGGUGGAAGCAGCAGUGGGAAACCCCAGCUGCUCCGCGGAAAGCCGAGGCUGGCGCUCCGUUCAUCGGAGCAGAAGUGGCAUCACAGAAAGCACAUGAGGUUGGAUAAAACAGAAGGACAAGCUCUGUCAUUGAGGAGCCCAUGCUUUUGGGGGAAAGGACCUCCCCAGAGGGCUACGCACAUGUUCCUGCAGGCCCGGUGGAGUUGAGACCCCAAGCCUGAAGCCAAGAAAGAAAUGCCAAAGGCACAGUGUUUGAGGAUCACAGGAAAUGCAAGAAGAGCUGAACCUGGACAGAGUCCCUCUGAAAAGUGGGGACGCCUGAUGAAAGGAGGCUGGACUUUGGAGCCAGAGAGACCUCAGUUCUAGUCCUGCCCUCCUAGUGAUGGAAACUUCUGGGUCUCAGUUUCUUCAUGAGGAAAGUGGGCCAAUGGUACUUACCCGAAGGCUUCAUCGUGAUGGAAAAGCAUUUGGUACAUGGAAGGGGCUCAGCAAAGGAAUGGCAGACAGACACAUGCACACAUAAUUAUACUGGUGACAAGAAAACCAAGGUUACUCCCAGGUGUGCCUCUUCCCCGUGGCACCGCCACUGCUGCUGUCCCUCUCAUCACCUCCCAUCGAGGACCCCUGAGCUACCUGGGUGAUCAUUUCAUACCUAUGGCCCCAGCCUGGAUUUGGCAUUGCUGUGACAACUGUAGCUGAACUUGAGAAUCACUCUUAGAGCUCGUAUUGUCAAGACAUCUACGGGUGCUGAGUGUGUGGCCAAAUUCUGCUAAGAUGCUGACACACGGCUGACCUUUCAUCACCCUUAUCACUCAACCCUUGUUUUGUGAUGAGGUUCCCUGCUGCCUGAUGAGACUUUGUGCUUAGGCUUUUGUUAAAUGAGGAUGAUGUGCAGGGUUCUGGCCUUGGAUGCCCAGGCGAGACGCAGUCUUGCAAAACAUUUCUUUUUUAUGGUUUUCUGUGACGGAACAUUGCGUUGUUCCACAUCUUAGCUUUGGUUUUGUAAUCACCGAUUAUAUAAUGAAUUCUGGUUCCAUGCCGGCGAAAUCUGUCUGAGCUGUUAAAGACACAGGAGAGAGGGGAACUGCUUUAGAAGACACAGAGAUGGAGAUGCCGUGUUGGUAGGACCCAGGGCCUCCUCCAUCCCUGCUAAUCUGAAAGAUCAGUCUACAAGGGGAUGGCAAGUGCCUCAGCUUAUCGCCUUCACUUUUGCACAGAGUAGCAGAUCCUCCUUCUGAAGUUUGCAAUUUUGUAAAACAUCAGCUACCUCUAGUGGGGCUCACUCUAUCUGCCUCCCUCAUCUUUGAGUGCUUGAAAGUCUAUGUCCUUAACUUCAAGAUGUGGGUUUCCAGAGAACACACACAUGUCCCAGGUACAUUUCAAUUGCAGAUAAACAAGGAAUACCUAUUUUAGCAUAAGUAUGUCCCAUGCAAUACUUGGGACAUACUAAUGCUUAAAAAAAAGCAUUCAUUAUUUGUCUGAAAUUCAAAUGCAACCAGGCAGCCUCUUAUUUUUGCUUGCUAAAUCUGGCAACCCUGCUCAAGAUCAAACUCUUGUCAUUGUCCUUUCCUCUGGGUCUGUCCUUGUGGGACUCCAAUAAUUCAUUCUGCCAAGAAGCCUGAGACAGAAUGAGGCAAAGGAAAAAUCUUAAUCACACUUGGCUUUUUGUUCUUAUCUAGCUCUGAGUGUCACAGACAUGCAUUAAAUUCAUAAAUAAAUUAAAACCUUUCAUUUGGACAGCUGAAGCUUAGUUCAUUUUUAUCCUGAAACUUUAGCAAGAUUGGAUUCCAUUGUAGAGACGGAUGGUGUAAAAAGAAAAGACUGAUCAAGGGACCUGGUCCCUCAUCGCAGGCUGAGUGGCUGUGGCAUGGAGUGACCACGGUAGGGAGUGACCAUGGUAUAACAUUCUCUUUAAUUUCUCUUUGGAAACUUAAAGUGUUUGAUUAAACAACCCCUAAGAUCCCUUCCAGGGCUAAUAAUUCUAUAGUUCUGGUUUCAAAAGUUCUGAAACUUCCAAGAUGUAUUACUGAAAAAUCACAGUAUUUGAUUAAAAAAAUUAAUGCUGUUUUUUUUUAAUUCUUAAUUUCCAUUAUUUUAUUUUUGUUUUUGUCUUUUUUUAGGGCCGCACCCACAGCAUUAAAAAUUUUUUUUUUAACAUUGGGUAUUUUUUAUUUAUGUUUUUAAUAAGUUGCUUACUGAAUUUCUGAGAAGAGUACAUAUCUUGGAGUCCUGAGAACUCUUGCUAUACUAAAUAUUUUGUGCAAAUUUUUUCUUUAAUUAGUAUCCAGGUAAAAGAUUUGCCCAUCAGGAUACUCUAAUAGAAUUUUUCACAUGUCUCUCAUUCUUAAAUGGCUUUGGUAAAAUCCAGCAUUCUAAAUCAGAGUUCCCACUGCAGCUCAGCAGUAACAAAUCCAACUAGUAUCCAUGAGAGUACAGGUUUCAACCCUGGCCUUACUUGGUGGGUUAAGGAUCUCUGGUGUAGGUCACAGAUGCGGCUCGGGUCCUGCGUUGCUGUGGCUGUGGUGUAGCCUGGCAGCUGCAAUUCCAAUUCCACUCCUAGCCUGGGAACUUCCAUAUGCUGUAUGUGCAGCCCUAAAAA
RNAcentral lists this long non-coding RNA (2626 nucleotides) under Sus scrofa (pig). RNAcentral describes it as "lncRNA (ENSSSCG00000057171.1)". The stretch from base 1434 to 1485 matches the Rfam family "mir-1302 microRNA precursor family". Lineage: Eukaryota; Metazoa; Chordata; Mammalia; Artiodactyla; Suidae. The record is from RNAcentral.